AACGCACAUUGCGCCCUUUGGCAUUCCGAGGGGCAUGCCCGUUCGAGCGUCAUUAAAUCCACUCAAGCCUGGCUUGGUAUUGGGCGACGGGGACUCCCCCGCGCCUCCAUUUCGCCGGCUGGCCGUCGUUUGACUUAGCGUUGUGACACAUGUCGCUGACGAUGAAGACGGACCGCGCCGUGAGAACCCCCUUGGGCGUUCGCGCCCAGUAAAGAUUGACCUCGGAUCGGGUAGGAAUACCCGCUGAACUUAA
This 253-nucleotide unclassified non-coding RNA is filed under the name uncultured fungus. Its description in RNAcentral is "partial contains 5.8S ribosomal RNA, internal transcribed spacer 2, and large subunit ribosomal RNA". Lineage: Eukaryota; Fungi. The record is from RNAcentral.